UACGAAGGGGGGCUAGCGUUGUUCGGAAUUACUGGGCGUAAAGCGCGCGUAGGCGGCUCUUCAAGUCAGGCGUGAAAGCCCCGGGCUUAACCCGGGAAUAGCGCUUGAUACUGUUGGGCUUGAGUCCGGGAGAGGAUAGUGGAAUUCCCAGUGUAGAGGUGAAAUUCGUAGAUAUUGGGAAGAACACCAGUGGCGAAGGCGGCUAUCUGGGACCG
Molecule: ribosomal RNA, 215 nt
Filed under: uncultured bacterium
Lineage: Bacteria
Description: partial 16S ribosomal RNA
Rfam family: Bacterial small subunit ribosomal RNA
Source: RNAcentral